This 24-nucleotide non-coding RNA is filed under the name Arabidopsis thaliana (thale cress). Lineage: Eukaryota; Viridiplantae; Streptophyta; Magnoliopsida; Brassicales; Brassicaceae. The record is from RNAcentral.
AGGGUAGCUCCAUAAACAUACUGC